RNAcentral lists this ribosomal RNA (253 nucleotides) under uncultured bacterium. Its description in RNAcentral is "partial 16S ribosomal RNA". It matches the Rfam family "Bacterial small subunit ribosomal RNA", at positions 1248 to 1500 of the family's 1533-position model. The record is from RNAcentral.
AGCAAAACCGUGAGGUGGAGCAAAUCUCCAAAAAACGUACUCAGUUCGGAUUGUAGGCUGCAACCCGCCUACAUGAAGUCGGAAUUGCUAGUAAUCGUGGAUCAGCAUGCCACGGUGAAUACGUUCCCGGGCCUUGUACACACCGCCCGUCAAACCAUGAGAGUUGGCAACACCCGAAGCCUGUAGCUUAACCGCAAGGAUGGCGCAGUCGAAGGUGGGGUCGAUGAUUAGGGUUAAGUCGUAACAAGGUAUC